This 537-nucleotide ribosomal RNA is filed under the name uncultured bacterium. Its description in RNAcentral is "bacterial SSU rRNA". It matches the Rfam family "Archaeal small subunit ribosomal RNA", at positions 725 to 1260 of the family's 1478-position model. The record is from RNAcentral.
AGUGAAUAGAUACCCUGGUAGUCCCAGCUGUAAACGAUGCGCGUUAGGUGUAUCGGUGACCACGAGUCACCGAGGUGCCGAAGGGAAACCGUGAAACGUGCCGCCUGGGAAGUACGGUCACAAGGCUGAAACUUAAAGGAAUUGGCGGGGGAGCACCACAACAGGUGGAGCCUGCGGUUUAAUCGGACUCAACGCCGGGAAGCUCACCGGAUAAGACAGCUGAAUGAUAGCCGGGUUGAAGACUCUGCUUGACUAGCUGAGAGGAGGUGCAUGGCCGUCGUCAGUUCGUACUGUGAAGCAUCCUGUUAAGUCAGGCAACGAGCGAGACCCACGCCAACAGUUGCCAGCAUGCCCUCCGGGACGGUGGGGACACUGUUGGGACCGCCUCUGCUAAAGAGGAGGAAGGAAUGAGCAACGGUAGGUCAGCAUGCCCCGAAUUAUCCGGGCUACACGCGGGCUACAAUGGUCAGGACAAUGGGUAUCAACACCGAAAGGUGAAGGCAAUCUCCUAAACCUGUCCUUAGUUCGGAUUGUGGG